Salvia hispanica is the source of this 290-nucleotide non-coding RNA. The record is from RefSeq and is a predicted model, not a curated record. Lineage: Eukaryota; Viridiplantae; Streptophyta; Magnoliopsida; Lamiales; Lamiaceae.
CAGAAAAGUCUAUAAGGAGAAGGCAAAAGAACUAUCCUAAAUAAUUACUCAGAAUUUCGUAGACUAGUGGAGUAUCAAGAAUCAUAGAUAGAGAAGCAAGAGUAAGAUUAUUAUAAGGGUCGGCGGCUGACGCGUUUUGACAACUUUCUCCUCUCAUCAUUUUUGCAUGUAGAUAAAUGUAAAGUAUAUAGAGUGGUGAGAGGGUCUCACUACUGUUUAGAAUGUUUAGAAACAUUUACUUGAUAAAAUGUUGAUUUUUGAAAUGAUAUAAUAUGCGUGUUUUAGGUACU